GACGAACGCUGGCGGCGUGCUUAACACAUGCAAGUCGAACGGAAAGGCCCCUUUGGGGGUACUCGAGUGGCGAACGGGUGAGUAACACGUGAGUAACCUGCCCUUGACUUCGGGAUAACUUCAGGAAACUGGGGCUAAUACCGGAUAGGAAUCCUUGCUGCAUGGUGGGGGUUGGAAAGCUUCGGCGGUUUUGGAUGGACUCGCGGCUUAUCAGCUUGUUGGUGGGGUAGUGGCUUACCAAGGCUUUGACGGGUAGCCGGCCUGAGAGGGCGACCGGCCAACGGGGGAAGGGGAUAGGGCCAAGGCUCCUAGGGGGGGGAGGAGGGGGGAAAAGUGCAAAAGGGGGGGAAGCGUGAUGCAGCAACGCCGGGGGGGGGAAGAGGGCCUUGGGGUGGGAAACCGCUUUAAGAAGGGGGGAAGCUUUUGGGGCGGUACCGGGAAAAGAAGCACGGGAAAACUGCGU
RNAcentral lists this ribosomal RNA (463 nucleotides) under uncultured bacterium. Its description in RNAcentral is "partial 16S ribosomal RNA". It matches the Rfam family "Bacterial small subunit ribosomal RNA", at positions 28 to 506 of the family's 1533-position model. The record is from RNAcentral.